This 291-nucleotide ribosomal RNA is filed under the name uncultured bacterium. RNAcentral's name for it is "partial 16S ribosomal RNA". It matches the Rfam family "Bacterial small subunit ribosomal RNA", at positions 335 to 615 of the family's 1533-position model. The record is from RNAcentral.
ACUCCUACGGGAGGCAGCAGUGGGGAAUAUUGCACAAUGGGCGCAAGCCUGAUGCAGCCAUGCCGCGUGUAUGAAGAAGGCCUUCGGGUUGUAAAGUACUUUCAGUCAGAUGAGGAAGGUUGGAGUCGUUAAUAGCGGCCUCAUUUUGACGUUAGCUGCAGAAGAAGCACCGGCUAACUCCGUGCCAGCAGCCGCGGUAAUACGGAGGGUGCGAGUGUUAAUCGGAAUUACUGGGCGUAAAGCGCAUGCAGGUGGUUUGUUAAGUCAGAUGUGAAAGCCCGGGCUCAAGCC